This 521-nucleotide long non-coding RNA is filed under the name Lathyrus oleraceus (garden pea). Its description in RNAcentral is "Pisum sativum (pea) long non-coding RNA (PSAT_LNC034936)". The record is from RNAcentral. Lineage: Eukaryota; Viridiplantae; Streptophyta; Magnoliopsida; Fabales; Fabaceae.
AAAAUAUAAAACUUCAUACAAUAAGAUUUGAGGUUAAUAUUUAUUAAAUUUCCUUAAUUAUAAGCAAUCAUCUUGACUUACAAAAAGGUCAUUAUUCUGAUGCACAUUUAAUCCACAAACUAUACAACAUGAGCAUGUGUGUAUUAACCGGAGUGUCACAUCUACAACGACGAGCCUGAACACCUUUAAACCUUGCAUUAAAUUCAGCGUUGCAGUCACGUUGAGCAUGCAGACAAUCACCACUCAAUCCUGUAAGAACCUUAGGACAUUAUUUGAUAUUGGGUUCUGUACCUACAUGAACAACAUUAUAGAAAAAAAUGAUCAAAUAUAAUAAUAAUAAUAAUAAUAAUAAUAAUAAUAAUAAUAAUAAUAAUAAUAAUAAUAUCCCAGAUCCAUAGCUAAGAUUGAAGAGAGCAAUCAAAGCAGCAACAAUAGGAGAAUGCUUCCUAGCGUCAUGAUGUUAUUAACACACUCAGUAUUAUCAAAUAGAGCUUUCAAAAUGUUGGGACAAUGUAAGAGAA